AUGGCGGCCGCCGCCACUGCCGCCACUGCCAUCGCCGCCGCAUGUUCGUCCAACGUCUCUGCUUCCUGCUCCGACUCCGACUCCGAGGAUCUCCGACUCCUCCUCCCAAACCUCCUCCCCGCGUCCGCCGCCGCCGCCCCCUCAUCCGAGGCGCAGCUCCACCAAUUCCACCUCCCCGCGCUUCCGUCCCCCAUCACCGUCCGCACCAUCCCUUCCCUCGGGCUCACCUUCCAGCUCUGGCCCUCCGCCACCACGCUCCUCCGCUUCCUCCCAGCCUCCCCGCACCUCCUCCCGCGCCCGCCCGCCGCACACUGCCCGCUCAGCAUCCUGGAGCUCGGCUCCGGGACCGGCGCCGCGGGCCUCGCCCUGGCGGCGGCUCUCCCGGCGCACACCGUCCUCUCCGACCUCCCCGCCGCGCUCCCCAAUCUCCGCCACAACGCCUCCCUCAACGCGCCCCUCCUCGACUCCCGCGGCGGCUCCGUCUCCGUCGUGCCGCUCCCCUGGGGCGAUGCCGCCGCGAUGGGGGCCGUGGUGGCCCCAGCGCCGGCUUCUCGGUUUGACCUCGUCGUGGCGUCGGACGUGGUCUACUACGAGGAGUUGGUCGACCCCUUGAUAGAGACGCUGCGGUUCUUCGUCAAGGGGGAUGUGGUGUUCCUGAUGGCGCACAUGAGGAGGUGGAAACGCACGGAUAAGAAAUUCUUCGGGAAGGCCAGGAAGGUGUUCGACAUUGAGGUGUUGCACAAGGAUCCACCCCCCGAAGGCUGGCGCCAUGGUCCGGUGGUCUACCGCUUCACAGUGAAGAAGCAGCGUCACAACAAGUGA
RNAcentral lists this ribosomal RNA (822 nucleotides) under Triticum aestivum (bread wheat). Its description in RNAcentral is "partial small subunit ribosomal RNA". The record is from RNAcentral. Lineage: Eukaryota; Viridiplantae; Streptophyta; Magnoliopsida; Poales; Poaceae.